RNAcentral lists this ribosomal RNA (651 nucleotides) under uncultured bacterium. RNAcentral's name for it is "bacterial SSU rRNA". It matches the Rfam family "Bacterial small subunit ribosomal RNA", at positions 663 to 1312 of the family's 1533-position model. The record is from RNAcentral.
GGAAUUCNUAGUGUAGCGGUGAAAUGCGUAGAUAUUAGGAAGANCACCAGUGGCGAAGGCGACUUUCUGGACGAAAACUGACGCUGAGGCGCGAAAGCCAGGGGAGCGAACGGGAUUAGAUACCCCGGUAGUCCUGGCCGUAGACGAUGGGUACUAGGUGUAGGAGGUAUCGACCCCUUCUGUGCCGGAGUUAACGCAAUAAGUACCCCGCCUGGGGAGUACGACCGCAAGGUUGAAACUCAAAGGAAUUGACGGGGGCCCGCACAAGCGGUGGAGUAUGUGGUUUAAUUCGACGCAACGCGAAGAACCUUACCAGGUCUUGACAUUGAUGGACAGAACCAGAGAUGGUUCCUCUUCUUCGGAAGCCAGAAAACAGGUGGUGCACGGUUGUCGUCAGCUCGUGUCGUGAGAUGUUGGGUUAAGUCCCGCAACGAGCGCAACCCCUAUCUUAUGUUGCCAGCACUUUGGGUGGGGACUCAUGAGAGACUGCCGCAGACAAUGCGGAGGAAGGCGGGGAUGACGUCAAAUCAUCAUGCCCCUUAUGACCUGGGCUACACACGUACUACAAUGGGAGUUAAUAGACGGAAGCGAGAUCGCGAGAUGGAGCAAACCCGAGAAACACUCUCUCAGUUCGGAUCGUAGGCUGCAACU